RNAcentral lists this unclassified non-coding RNA (170 nucleotides) under soil metagenome. RNAcentral describes it as "partial internal transcribed spacer 1". The record is from RNAcentral.
CCUUUCAAUGCAGAAGAGUUGAGGUGGUUGGAGUAUCUCGCCCUCAAUUCUCGCUGUAUUUUCACCCUUGUUUUUCCCAUACUAUUAUUUCCUCGGCAGGCCAGCCUGCCGGGUGAAACAACUUCAAACCUGUUUAAUUUUCAAUCAGCGUCUGAACAAAUUAAUAAUUA